RNAcentral lists this ribosomal RNA (406 nucleotides) under uncultured bacterium. RNAcentral's name for it is "partial 16S ribosomal RNA". It matches the Rfam family "Bacterial small subunit ribosomal RNA", at positions 29 to 526 of the family's 1533-position model. The record is from RNAcentral.
AUUGAACGCUGGCGGCAGGCUUAACACAUGCAAGUCGAGCGAGCGGCGGACGGGUGAGAAAUGUCGGGGAAAGUGCCUGGGGGAGGGGGAAAACUACUGGAAACGGUAGCUAAUACCGCAUACCAUCAGAUGCGCCCAGAUGGGAUUAGCUAGUAGGGGGGGUAAUGGCUCACCUAGGCGACGAUCCCUAGCUGGUCUGAGAGGAUGACCAGCCACACUGGAACUGAGACACGGUCCAGACUCCUACGGGAGGCAGCAGUGGUGAAUAUUGCACAAUGGGCGCAAGCCUGAUGCAGCCAUGCCGCGUGUGUGAAGAAGGCCUUCGGGUUGUAAAGCACUUUCAGCGAGGAGGCGUUACUCGCAGAAGAAGCACCGGCUAACUCCGUGCCAGCAGCCGCGGUAAUUC